AUUGAACGCUGGCGGCAGGCUUAACACAUGCAAGUCGAGCGGGGGAAGGUAGCUUGCUACUGGACCUAGCGGCGGACGGGUGAGUAAUGCUUAGGAAUCUGCCUAUUAGUGGGGGACAACAUCUCGAAAGGGAUGCUAAUACCGCAUACGUCCUACGGGAGAAAGCAGGGGAUCUUCGGACCUUGCGCUAAUAGAUGAGCCUAAGUCGGAUUAGCUAGUUGGUGGGGUAAAGGCCUACCAAGGCGACGAUCUGUAGCGGGUCUGAGAGGAUGAUCCGCCACACUGGGACUGGAACACGGCCCAGACUCCUACGGGAGGCAGCAGUGGGGAAUAUUGGACAAUGGGGGGAACCCUGAUCCAGCCAUGCCGCGUGUGUGAAGAAGGCCUUAUGGUUGUAAAGCACUUUAAGCGAGGAGGAGGCUACUUUAGUUAAUACCUAGAGAUAGUGGACGUUACUCGCAGAAUAAGCACCGGCUAACUCUGUGCCAGCCGCCGCGGUAA
RNAcentral lists this ribosomal RNA (501 nucleotides) under uncultured bacterium. RNAcentral describes it as "partial 16S ribosomal RNA". It matches the Rfam family "Bacterial small subunit ribosomal RNA", at positions 30 to 523 of the family's 1533-position model. The record is from RNAcentral.